GAUGAAGAACGCAGCGAAAUGCGAUAAGUAAUGUGAAUUGCAGAAUUCAGUGAAUCAUCGAAUCUUUGAACGCAUCUUGCGCUCCUUGGUAUUCUGAGGAGCAUGCCUGUUUGCGUGUCAUUAAAUUCUCAACUACACUGACUUUGAAUUGGUGUGGCUUGGAUUUGGGGGGAAAAUUGUUGUGGGCUUUUUGUAUAGUCUGCUCCCCUGAAAUUGAUUAGCGGUACCUUUGUGGAACUGUCUACAGGUGUGAUAAUUAUCUACAUCUUAGACAUCUGCUGGAAUGCUGCUUUCUAAACCUUACUUGUAUUGACAAUCUUGACCUCAAAUCAGGUAGGACUACCCGCUGAACUUAAGCAUAUCAAUAAGCGGAGGA
RNAcentral lists this unclassified non-coding RNA (376 nucleotides) under soil metagenome. RNAcentral's name for it is "partial contains 5.8S ribosomal RNA, internal transcribed spacer 2, and large subunit ribosomal RNA". The stretch from base 1 to 120 matches the Rfam family "5.8S ribosomal RNA", at positions 35 to 154 of the family's 154-position model. The record is from RNAcentral.